AACGAACGCUGGCGGCAUGCCUAACACAUGCAAGUCGAACGAAACCUUCGGGUCUAUUGGCGCACGGGUGCGUAACGCGUGGGAACCUGCCCUUAGGUUCGGAAUAACUCCCCGAAAGGGGUGCUAAUACCGGAUAAUGUCUUCGGACCAAAGAUUUAUCGCCUUUGGAUGGGCCCGCGUUGGAUUAGCUAGUUGGUAGGGUAAAAGCCUACCAAGGCGACGAUCCAUAGCUGGUCUGAGAGGAUGAUCAGCCACACUGGGACUGAGACACGGCCCAGACUCGUACGGGAGGGAGGAGAGGGUAAUAGUGGACAAGGGGGGAAGGCAUGAUCCAGCAAUGCCCGGUGAGUGAUGAAGGCAUUAGGGUUGUAAAGCUCUUUUAACCGGGAUGAUAAUGACGGUACCGGGAGAAGAAGCUCCGGCUAACUACGUG
This 433-nucleotide ribosomal RNA is filed under the name uncultured bacterium. RNAcentral describes it as "partial 16S ribosomal RNA". It matches the Rfam family "Bacterial small subunit ribosomal RNA", at positions 29 to 507 of the family's 1533-position model. The record is from RNAcentral.